RNAcentral lists this ribosomal RNA (451 nucleotides) under uncultured bacterium. Its description in RNAcentral is "partial 16S ribosomal RNA". It matches the Rfam family "Bacterial small subunit ribosomal RNA", at positions 354 to 796 of the family's 1533-position model. The record is from RNAcentral.
GUGGGGAAUAUUGGACAAUGGGGGGAACCCUGAUCCAGCCAUGCCGCGUGUGUGAAGAAGGCCUUUUGGUUGUAAAGCACUUUAAGCGAGGAGGAGGCUACCGAGAUUAAUACUCUUGGAUAGUGGACGUUACUCGCAGAAUAAGCACCGGCUAACUCUGUGCCAGCAGCCGCGGUAAUACAGAGGGUGAAAGCGUUAAUCGGAUUUACUGGGCGUAAAGCGCGCGUAGGUGGACAAUUAAGUCAAAUGUGAAAUCCCCGAGCUUAACUUGGGAAUUGCAUUCGAUACUGGUUGGCUAGAGUAUUGGAGAGGAUGGUAGAAUUCCAGGUGUAGCGGUGAAAUGCGUAGAGAUCUGGAGGAAUACCGAUGGCGAAGGCAGCCAUCUGGCCUAAUACUGACACUGAGGUGCGAAAGCAUGGGGAGCAAACAGGAUUAGAUACCCCUGUAGUCC